UACGUAGGGUGCGAGCGUUAAUCGGAAUUACUGGGCGUAAAGCGUGCGCAGGCGGUCUGGUAAGACCGAUGGGAAAUCCCCGGGCUUAACCUGGGAACUGCAUUGGUGACUGGCAGGCUUUGAGUGUGGCAGAGGGAGGUAGAAUUCCACGUGUAGCAGUGAAAUGCGUAGAGAUGUGGAGGAAUACCGAUGGCGAAGGCAGCCUCCUGGGCCAACACUGACGCUCAUGCACGAAAGCGUGGGGAGCAAACAGG
This 254-nucleotide ribosomal RNA is filed under the name uncultured bacterium. RNAcentral's name for it is "partial 16S ribosomal RNA". It matches the Rfam family "Bacterial small subunit ribosomal RNA", at positions 524 to 776 of the family's 1533-position model. The record is from RNAcentral.